Molecule: transfer RNA, 72 nt
Filed under: Dallia pectoralis (Alaska blackfish)
Lineage: Eukaryota; Metazoa; Chordata; Actinopteri; Esociformes; Umbridae
Description: tRNA-OTHER
Rfam family: tRNA (bases 7-65)
About the family: Transfer RNA (tRNA) molecules are approximately 80 nucleotides in length. Their secondary structure includes four short double-helical elements and three loops (D, anti-codon, and T loops).
Source: RNAcentral
GUUGGUGUAGCUCACUGGUAGAGUGCACGCUUUAUGUGUAUGAUGUCCUGGGUUCAAUCCCCAGCUACUCCC